AUGGCUCAGGAUGAACGCCGGCGGUGUGCCUAAUACAUGCAAGUCGUACGCACUGGCCCAACUGAUUGAUGGUGCUUGCACCUGAUUGACGAUGGAUCACCAGUGAGUGGCGGACGGGUGAGUAACACGUAGGUAACCUGCCCCGGAGCGGGGGAUAACAUUUGGAAACAGAUGCUAAUACCGCAUAACAACAAAAGCCACAUGGCUUUUGUUUGAAAGAUGGCUUUGGCUAUCACUCUGGGAUGGACCUGCGGUGCAUUAGCUAGUUGGUAAGGUAACGGCUUACCAAGGCGAUGAUGCAUAGCCGAGUUGAGAGACUGAUCGGCCACAAUGGAACUGAGACACGGUCCAUACUCCUACGGGAGGCAGCAGUAGGGAAUCUUCCACAAUGGGCGCAAGCCUGAUGGAGCAACACCGCGUGAGUGAAGAAGGGUUUCGACUCGUAAAGCUCUGUUGUUGGAGAAGAACGUGCGUGAGAGUAACUGUUCACGCAGUGACGGUAUCCAACCAGAAAGUCACGGCUAACUACGUGCCAGCAGCCGCGGUAAUACGUAGGUGGCAAGCGUUAUCCGGAUUUAUUGGGCGUAAAGCGAGCGCAGGCGGUUGCUUAGGUCUGAUGUGAAAGCCUUCGGCUUAACCGAAGAAGUGCAUCGGAAACCGGGCGACUUGAGUGCAGAAGAGGACAGUGGAACUCCAUGUGUAGCGGUGGAAUGCGUAGAUAUAUGGAAGAACACCAGUGGCGAAGGCGGCUGUCUGGUCUGCAACUGACGCUGAGGCUCGAAAGCAUGGGUAGCGAACAGGAUUAGAUACCCUGGUAGUCCAUGCCGUAAACGAUGAGUGCUAGGUGUUGGAGGGUUUCCGCCCUUCAGUGCCGGAGCUAACGCAUUAAGCACUCCGCCUGGGGAGUACGACCGCAAGGUUGAAACUCAAAGGAAUUGACGGGGGCCCGCACAAGCGGUGGAGCAUGUGGUUUAAUUCGAAGCUACGCGAAGAACCUUACCAGGUCUUGACAUCUUGCGCUAACCUUAGAGAUAAGGCGUUCCCUUCGGGGACGCAAUGACAGGUGGUGCAUGGUCGUCGUCAGCUCGUGUCGUGAGAUGUUGGGUUAAGUCCCGCAACGAGCGCAACCCUUAUUACUAGUUGCCAGCAUUAAGUUGGGCACUCUAGUGAGACUGCCGGUGACAAACCGGAGGAAGGUGGGGACGACGUCAGAUCAUCAUGCCCCUUAUGACCUGGGCUACACACGUGCUACAAUGGACGGUACAACGAGUUGCAAACUCGCGAGAGCAAGUUAAUUUCUUAAAGCCGUUCUCAGUUCGGACUGUAGGCUGCAACUCGCCUACACGAAGUCGGAAUCGCUAGUAAUCGCGGAUCAGCAUGCCGCGGUGAAUACGUUCCCGGGCCUUGUACACACCGCCCGUCACACCAUGGGAGUUUGUAACGCCCAAAGUCGGUGGCCUAACCUUUAUGGAGGGAGCCGCCUAAGGCGGGACAGAUGACUGGGGUGAAGUCGUAACUAGGUAACC
RNAcentral lists this ribosomal RNA (1526 nucleotides) under uncultured bacterium. Its description in RNAcentral is "partial 16S ribosomal RNA". It matches the Rfam family "Bacterial small subunit ribosomal RNA". The record is from RNAcentral.